This 71-nucleotide transfer RNA is filed under the name Hoplopleura sp. Its description in RNAcentral is "tRNA-Ser". The record is from RNAcentral. Lineage: Eukaryota; Metazoa; Arthropoda; Insecta; Psocodea; Hoplopleuridae.
AACUAGCUAGUCUAAUUCUUGGACGUUUAUUUUGAAAAUAAGAGGUAACAUGUAGAGCAUGUUGCUAGUUU